Molecule: long non-coding RNA, 1237 nt
Organism: Leopardus geoffroyi (Geoffroy's cat)
Lineage: Eukaryota; Metazoa; Chordata; Mammalia; Carnivora; Felidae
Exons: 2
Source: RefSeq, a predicted model, not a curated record
AAACAGUGGUUAUUCCCACAGGUGGGCGUCUGGCCAAUCCCGAUCCACAGGGAUGCUUUCCUUCCUUCCAAGAUCUUAGGUACCAAGGGCCAUGCAAUUCUGAAGCCACGCACGUCUGUCUUUAUGGCUAAUUGGGGAGAGACUGCCUCCAAUGGAAACAAUACAGAGAAAAAGAAAGGAGACAGAAAAGGAGAGAGAAAAACCUGACAUUACUGUCUAAAUCCCUGGACCUUUAACUCGUAGACCCAAAGGACUUGGCCAGGGAGUCCAGACAUCCGCCCCCACCCCGCCUUUUUCAACGGACGCCAGUUUGAGCUGGUGAUUCUGUCGCUCCGAACAGCAAGAUUCCUGGUUACUAUGCGUUCCUUCCAACGGCUGCGGAGGCAUCAUCAACUUCACAACUCUGCUGAGGACCCCGGCAGUGAGGAAAAAGAGGCCAGGUACGCGGACUCAGGCGCCUGACCCAGUCCAGCCUUGCCCAGCUCAGUUAGUGCUACACGCGAAGUUGCCGCCCCCCUGCUUCUCGAAGCCAUGUGAGCUGCCGAAUGGCUCUCCUUAAAAGGGCACCCCUAUUUGCCUCGCUGGGGAUGCCAUUUCCUCCCGGGGUCACUCCUCCUCCACAAUGCCUCCAUCCUUCAGGUGGUGGGGGGUGAGAGGCCAGGGUGCCGCCGUCAUGUGCUCUGGGGACUAUGGCAGGACGCACAACCGCAAGCUCAUCUAUUCAGGUAGAUCUGACUCCGCCAGUUCUGCAGAAACCAAUGGUUUCUACCAGACUCACCCCAGGAGGCGUACGCUGAGUUACCUGGGAAUUACCUCUCUGCCAGAACAUCCUCCCAGAACCGUCUCAUUGAACAGUAUGCUACAAAGAUCGUGCAACAUCCUUCAUCAUAUUAAGACAAGUUUUGACUUGUCCCCACUUAACAUGUGAUGGAAAGCUGGUGGAUUUACCUUAAAUUAUUUAUGAAACAGAGAACAAAAAACAUGAGUUGGUUUCAGGACAGAGUUUUACUAUAUGUUGCAAGGCAUAAAAAAAAAAAGACAAAACAACCUCCCUUUAUGAGCUGAUGUUUAGAAUGCUAAAUUUUGUGCUGAUUUUUUUUUAAACAUAUAAUUGUUGUUCUAAAUGACAAGAUGUAAGAAAAGAUUUCCGGAUGAUAUUUGCAAGCACAUCUCUCUGCAAAUAACACAUUGCAGGUGUGGAGAGUCAUUACUCCCAAUAAAUGCAAAGCAAAAUUGU